RNAcentral lists this ribosomal RNA (125 nucleotides) under uncultured bacterium. Its description in RNAcentral is "partial 16S ribosomal RNA". It matches the Rfam family "Bacterial small subunit ribosomal RNA", at positions 1379 to 1500 of the family's 1533-position model. The record is from RNAcentral.
CCUUGUACACACCGCCCGUCACACCAUGGGAGUGGGUUGCUCCAGAAGGCGUUAGUCUAACCGCGAAGGGGGACGACGCCCACGGAGUGGUUCAUGACGUGGGGUGAAGUCGUAAACAAGGUACC